Molecule: non-coding RNA, 73 nt
Organism: Parasitella parasitica
Lineage: Eukaryota; Fungi; Mucoromycota; Mucoromycetes; Mucorales; Mucoraceae
Source: the annotation of a GenBank genome assembly
GCUUCGGUGGCCUAAUUGGAUAAGGCAUCCGUCUUCUAAACGUGAAAUUGGGGGUUCUACCCCCCUCGAAAUA